This is a long non-coding RNA of Dioscorea cayenensis subsp. rotundata (Guinea yam), 260 nucleotides long. RefSeq lists it as uncharacterized. The record is from RefSeq and is a predicted model, not a curated record. Lineage: Eukaryota; Viridiplantae; Streptophyta; Magnoliopsida; Dioscoreales; Dioscoreaceae. The transcript has 3 exons.
UCAGUACUAUCAACAAGAAUCAUCCAAACUGAGGGAUCUUGUAUUGUGAAGCAAGAAGGCAUGUUUGGUGGGUCAAGCACUUGAAAUCAACUAUUUCCGAGUGAGAAACUAUUUGGAGUGUUAAUUCUUCAACUUAUGGAUAAAACGUGGAUAAACCUUACAUCAAGAGCAAGUGAAGAGUAUAUAAAUGGGGUCACCAAUUUCUUAGAUUUUGCCUUUGCCAAAUUAUCCGAAGAUGGUAAAAUUUGGUGUCCUUGUGU